CCUGGUUGAUCCUGCCAGUAGUUAUAUGCUUGUUCUAAAGAUUAAGCCAUGCAUGUGUCGGAAUAUGUCUGUAUAGACGAAUCUGCAAACGGCUCAUUAUAACAGUGAUUGCAUAAUUGACUUUCUUAGACGGAUAACCGUGGGAAACUAAGGCUAAUACGAGCCAAUUUUGCCAGAUUUCAUUCUGUGCUGUAUUUCUUGUGUUAUAAGUCCAAGGCGCUCUGCGUGUUCGAUGAAACGCAGGAACUUUUCGAGUCGAAUAAUCGAUGCGUCAAAGUGGUUUCUGACCUAUCAGCUUUCGACGGUAGGGUAUUGGCCUACCGUGGCAAUGACGGGUAACGGGGAAUUAGGGUUUGAUUCCGGAGAGGGAGCCUGAGAAAUGGCUACCACGUCUAAGGAUGGCAGCAGGCGCGCAAAUUACCCAAUCCUGAAACAGGGAGGUAGUGACAGAAAAUAGCAACACAAAGCAUUUGCUUUUUGAUUGCAAUGUGGAUCUUCCAAAUUUUGCUUCGAGAAUCAAUUGGAGGGCAAGUCUGGUGCCAGCAGCCGCGGUAAUUCCAGCUCCAAUAGCGUAUAUUAAAGUUGUUGCAGUUAAAAAGCUCGUAGUUGUUAGGGUUGGGAAAUUUGAAGAAUCUUCACUGGUCUUCAGACUUCCUAAAAGCUGUUUCAAUCGGCUUUGUGUUACUUUGAGAAAAUUUGAGUGUUCAUCUCGGGCAAAUUGCUUACAUAAUGUACCAUGGAAUAACUCUGUGGCCCUAAUUCUGUCUUUUGGCUUACAUUAUUGGGGUUCGUGGUUGAAAAGGAUAGUUGGGGGCAUUCGUACUGAACAGUUAGAGGUGAAAUUCUUAGAUUUGUUCAAGACGAACCAGUGCGAAAGCAUCUGCCAAGGAUGUUUUCAUUAAUCAAGAACGAAAGUUAGGGGAUCGAAGACGAUCAGAUACCGUCGUAGUCUUAACUGUAAACAAUGCCGACUAGAGAUCGGUGGAAUUCGAAUUGGAAUCCUUCGGCAUCUACAGAGAAAUCAAAGUUCUUGGGUUCUGGGGGGAGUAUGGUCGCAAGGCUGAAACUUAAAGGAAUUGACGGAAGGGCACCACCAGGAGUGGAGCCUGCGGCUUAAUUUGACCCAACACGGGAAAACUUACCAGGUCCGGACAUAGGUAUGAUUGACAGACUGAGAGCUCUUUCUUGAUUCUAUGGGUGGUGGUGCAUGGCCGUUCUUAGUUGGUGGAUUGAUUUGUCUGGUUGAUUCCGACAACGAACGAGACCUUUACUUUCUAAUUAGAUCCAAGACAUACGUGUUUCCUGGGUCGCCUUAGCAGAACUUUGUGCGUUGCAGCACAAUGAAGCACAGGCAAUAACAGGUCUGUGAUGCCCUUAGAUGUUCUGGGCUGCACGCGUGCUACAAUGAAACUUACCAUAAGUUGCGAUGUCGAAAAGCUAUGCAAAUCUUUGAAUGCGUUUCGUGACAGGGACAGUUGAUUGUAAUUUUUCGACUCGAACGAGGAAUUCCUUGUAAUCGUGAUUCAUCAUAUCGCGCUGAAUACGUCCCUGCCCUUUGUACACACCGCCCGUCGCUCCUACCGAUUGGGCGAUCCGGUGAAUUAUUUGGAGUUUUGACGAUUUCUUUCGGAAACCUGCCAAUUCAAAUUUUUGUGAACCUUAUUGCUUAGAGGAAGGAAAAGUCGUAACAAGGUU
RNAcentral lists this ribosomal RNA (1695 nucleotides) under metagenome. Its description in RNAcentral is "SSU rRNA". It matches the Rfam family "Eukaryotic small subunit ribosomal RNA". The record is from RNAcentral.